Molecule: long non-coding RNA, 510 nt
Organism: Mytilus californianus (California mussel)
Lineage: Eukaryota; Metazoa; Mollusca; Bivalvia; Mytilida; Mytilidae
Exons: 2
Source: RefSeq, a predicted model, not a curated record
CUGACAAUCUACUGCUAAAUUCAGCGGGCAUACUAAAGAUAGCCGAUUUUGGUAUCACAAAAAGACUUUAUCCUGUACAACAUGUACAAGAAGGAGCUGUUGGAUUGAAAACAACAAUAGGAACAGUUACACAUCUUGCACCAGAGGUUCUUUUUAAGGACAACGCUUUGUUUCCAAAUUGUCCAAAAUUCUAUGGUCCUCCUGUUGACAUAUGGAGUUUAGGAUGUACUGUCAUGGAAAUGCUAACAGGGAGAUAUCCACAGUCGCAAGAUUAUUUCAAAUCCAUUUAUUGGGGAUUUAGAUAUGGGUUUAAACCUUUCAAUUCGUACCGACCAGCAAAUAUUUCAAACGAGUGUUGGUGCUUUAUAAAGGUUACUAUCUGUCCAGACCAUAGACACCGCUGGAAACCUUGUUUUUUGUUAGAUCACACAUGGCAAUCAAUUCAAUAAUUUAAUGUAAACCAUCAUGCAAGUUUUAUGUAAAAAUAAAUAAAUUUACUGAUCCUCCUUA